CCCUUAGAUGUUCUGGGCCGCACGCGCGCUACACUGACUGACUCAACGAGUGUACAACCUGCUUCGACAGAAGUGGGUAAUCUUUUGAAAUUCAGUCGUGAUGGGGCUAGAUUAUUGAAAUUAUUAAUCUUGAACGAGGAAUUCCUAGUAAACGCAGAUCAUCAAUCUGCAUUGAUUACGUCCCUGCCCUUUGUACACACCGCCCGUCGCACCUACCGAUUGGAUGGUCCGGUGAAGCCUCGGGAUUGUGGUUCUUGCCGCUUUAUUGUGGCGUGACCGCGAGAACUUGUCUAAACCUUAUCAUCUAGAGGAAGGUGAAGUCGUAACA
This 328-nucleotide ribosomal RNA is filed under the name uncultured eukaryote. RNAcentral describes it as "partial 18S ribosomal RNA". It matches the Rfam family "Eukaryotic small subunit ribosomal RNA", at positions 1470 to 1796 of the family's 1831-position model. The record is from RNAcentral.